GAUCUAUGAAAAUCUUUUAGGCUAGGUGUUUUUGACGGAAAUCACAGGAGAUAGAUUGUACGAGUUAUUCAGUAAGGUUGGGCUGCAGGAUGUCUGCAUCAGAUCAGCAUAAGGAGGUUGUAAAUCAAGUGAAAGCUGGGCUGUGUGUCAGCAGCAAGUUAGCUGUUCCCUGAGAGCCCCACUCAAGGACCACAGCUUGAGUAGCACUGGAACUUUUCGCUAAGCGCUGCUUGGAUGUCACGCAGAGGUUCGUCUCAUGGAAGGGGAAAAAACAGGCAAAGCUCCACAUUUCAGUCUCAUUUUUCUGCAGAUUGGCCUGGCCACUUUAUUUACUAAUAUUUCUAUUUGUUGUGAGGGCAAGACAAAAAAAGUCUGAUGUUUAUGUGCAGACCUGCACUAUCCAGCGACUUGUUUUGGUGCUGAAUUUAUCUGUUCAUGUGAAAUUAAAUGUAUUUGAUAGGAGGAGGUGGCACAGAGCUAAUGGUGUAGAACUGGUUACGUACUUAUAAGGCAUCUUGAUUUGAAGAAAAAGACCAGUGGUCAUUUUGUGAGAUAUAUCAUCUUUAAUCAUCACCAUCUUUAAUGGCCACUACUGGUUUGGACAUCUGCAUUUACAGCACAGCACUACCACUGAAGAAAGACUGAAUCUAAAAUCAUUAAUUUAAAUCCAAUGUCCCCGUCACAACCAGUAACUUAAAUUAGGUAUGUGGGCACAUAGUGGCAGUCACAGAAAUGUAUUCUCCUCCACAUCCAAGUCAGAGAAGGAGCUGAACGUUCACAACUCCUGUUGUAGAAAAUGGAAGCUAAGAGGAUUAACAGCACAUACCAUAUGCUUGGUAUUUAGGGUAAUUUCCGAAGUCGUGAGGGUUACUGUGGACUAGGACCACCUUAUUGAAGCAAGUGGGACUCAUUUCAUGCAUCUGUCUGGGUAUGUAUGUCCAUAGACAGAAGAUGCGGUGAUCCUGCAUGUGCACACAUGCACAUGUGAGUAUAGCAUUAGUAAAUUCCUAAUUCUGUCAAAACACUGAUUUCUGAAAAGGCAGCUGUGAUCAGCAUAUCAAGUAAUACUUAAUUGCAAAGCCCUCAGCAUGCAAAAAAUAAUAAUAAUGCCAUUUUUAGUCACUUCUACUUUAUUUGCACUCUUUAUUGCACUUGGAUUUUCAUGUGCUGUUAAGGGGAAAAAAAUAACAAACCACCACCAAUAAAAAACUCUUCUGCCUCUGCAGUGCUCUCCUCAUACCAUCUCAUGGCUCCAGUAGCUCUUUGUUCUCAGGACAAGCACUGGUGGGUAGAAGGAGGCUUCAGCUUUGCACUGCACAUGACGUGGCUGCAUAAGCGCCUGCCUGUGCAGCACAGCGAGGUGCAGCCAGCUGCAGGAGAGCUGUGAGUUGGAUAUUUCUUCCCUGCUUUCCAAAUCUCUUUCUCGACUCUGAAGAGACACGGAGAAGAGCGUUAAUAUCAAAAGGAUACAGUUAAUUCCCUUGUUUUUCCCCAGUGCUGCUGAGAUUGCUGGUGAAUAUUACCUGAUGAGCAGCUAGUGAGUUUGUGCAGGAGCGUGGCGAUGGAGCAAGGAAGUAGCAGUGGCUCUGAAUAAAUCAUUCAUGUGUGCACUGCAGACUGCGCUUUGGGGACUGGCGGUAAUGGUGACACUCUCUCAGACAAACAGAGGAAAAGGCUUUCACCCAACUUUUUGCUGAAACCUCAGAGGAAUAGAACAGGUCAGCGGUGAAUAUUAAAUCAACUUCUGGCCAUCAUCCAAAGCGAUUUGGCCUAGUUAGGAAGCAUCAAGAAGGAAGAAAGCUUUGCUUCUUCACAUCCUGAUUUCUCCAGGGAGGGGAGAAGAAGGAGAUCUGUGCAUGGCAUUACAAAGGCAACCUGAUUUUGUAAGCCAACACUUCCUUCAUACGCACACGCAGACAACCCCAUGCAGAUCUGCAUUACACGUGCAGACACCUUUCCUGCAGUGCUGCAGCAAUCUUUAACUCCAACAUGCACAGUCUGAUGAAUAUGGCUGGAUCACAGGGUAUGUGUUCAGUUUUGCAAGAGCAGUAUUAUGUCCUUAUCACAUGGGGGAUAAUGUGACAGUGCAGCCCUUGCCUCCCUGGUGAAUGGGAUGGGAUUGGUCCCUCACUGUGCAGUGUGUACCUCCUUAUCUCAGCCACGUGAGAGCCUUGCAAGGCUGACUCCAGUGGGAGCUUCUCAGCAGCCCCAGAUAUGCUGAAUGGAACUACCUCCAUAUUCUGCAUUUUGGAUAUCUGUCCAAAACACAUAAUUUCUUUUGCAAAGUUAUUUUGGGGGGGUAUAUUAUUUAUUCUCAGAAAAAGAGCUAUAAGAAGAGAGGGUGGGACACGGGCAAGCCUUUCAAGGUUCCUUCACUAAAUUUGCUGUCAGUGAUCCCAUUCAGAGAUCCUGAGAGAAAGAAAUGGUCAGUUAGAGCCUGGUGCAUCCCCAGCACCUCCCAGAAGAUGCCUGCAGGCUGCUUCAAAAGGGCACACCACUUCCCAUGGAACCAAAACCAGAAUGCCUGAAGAGGAAUAACAGUAAGCCCAGUUGGGUCUCAUGCAGUAAGCAGGGCAGCUAAAGUGAGGUGCUAAUGAAUUCUUUUAAUGAAUCUUUAUAAUCAUUAUAAUGAAAUCUUUUCCCACUGCUUGGGUGCUUGCUUUCUUCCAUAAAGCUUGUUCUCACCGUGCCUUCUCCAAAGCAAUGGCAGCAAGCUGCUGGGGUUACCAAGGUGUGAGGACAGUGGCCAUGUAAUGCCAGCACCUUCUGUGUGGAGCAGGACUGAGGGAGACCACUCUUAUUUAUUAGUAUUUUUAUAGCCAGCACUACUGUUGCUAUUUCUCACAGCUUUUGAUUAUCUUUCUCAUUUCAUCUCUUCCUCAUGCCCCAGGUCUGGGCAAACAUUCGGGCUGAUGCAGCCCCAUAUAGCCAGCAGCCUUUGCUGCUCAUGUAAGGUAUGAAAUGACCUUUCUUUCCAAGUGUGUAGAGGAUAAAAAUGCUAAGCUAGGAAUCUAUGGUGGUGUCUGCCUCCUCGGAUGUCUUAUAAAGACAUCUGGACAUGGGCCAGCUCUGACUGUCCCUGCUUGCAUAGUGAGUUGGACCACAUGACUUCCAGAGGUCCCUCCCAACCUCAGCCAUGCUGUGAUUCUGCAAAAAAAAAGGGUGCUGGAGAAUAUGGGGUGAGAGGAAGCAUUACCAGGUUUUCAUUCCCGCCAGGCAUCCAGCUGAGCUCAGGCCCCUUGUGCACUUGCUCUAUGGUUGAUACCACAGGUAUUUACUGAGAUGGGCUGGAAAUAAAUAGGGAAAGAGCUUCAAGAGUGCAGCAUCCUUGUGGUUCAGUGGUCAAAAAUGUGUUUGAAAGUAUUUAAUAGAGCUGGUCAGAAAACACUGAGGGAUGAUUUUAUGGUCUUCCUGCAAAAUCCUGCAACACAAACACAGAAGCCACAACAUAAAGGUUUUCUGACACAGAUCUUGUGCUAAAAUUCAGAACCACCACUGUGGGGCUGUGUGGGAAUUUUAUUCCUUGUGCUUUGUGAGUCAGCGUCUGCCUAGGGGUCGGACUUGUGGGCACUUCUCCCAUGGCAGUGGCGUGCAUCCUGCUGGAGCCACCGUAGCAUCACUACCUUCACACUGCCCAGGUGUCCAGCCGUGCUGAUCUGGGAGGAUUUUCUGCUGCAAGACAAAAUUCGAUUGGGUCAAACAGAGUGUUUUCUCUUGGAUGGCAAUUGCAAAAGAUUAUUAUUAUUAUUUUAUUUAUUUUAAUUAACCUUAAAUGAUUGCAAGAGCUCACAGCUCGCUGCACUGUGGCAAGGUUUCUCCAAGGAGGAUACAGAUGUGCCAGAGAGCCCGGCUCUCCCUCUCAGCACUAUCAGGGGUGUCCGUUUCAGCCCCCCAAGACCCCCUUGGUAACUCUGUGGGGCACUGAUGGCCAAGGCAGCAGUCUGGGGCACACCCAGGGCUUUCAGGCUGACGGUGACCUUGAGCAGGUUUCACCGGUGGGCUUCCUCCCCGAGGAGGAAGGGUGAGCUGUAGAGCCACCAAACCCACAGUUAUUUUCCACAUCUGGUUUGAUUUUCUGCAUAUAAACAGCAGCCUUGCCAUUAACAACAAAAACUUAAUUCACUGAGGUUUGUUCAAGCACUGAGAGCAAAUAUUUUUCCUGUGCAGCUUGGGGUCAUUUUAAGGGAAAAACAGGGCUGGAGGUAUAUCGACCC
This 4214-nucleotide long non-coding RNA is filed under the name Gallus gallus (chicken). The record is from RNAcentral. Lineage: Eukaryota; Metazoa; Chordata; Aves; Galliformes; Phasianidae.